Molecule: RNA transcript, 2111 nt
Organism: Vigna unguiculata (cowpea)
Lineage: Eukaryota; Viridiplantae; Streptophyta; Magnoliopsida; Fabales; Fabaceae
Gene: KOM
Gene name: Rhomboid-related intramembrane serine protease family protein
Source: RefSeq, a predicted model, not a curated record
CUUCUGAUCUGGAGUCAGACGCGCUACCAUUGCGCCACGGAUCCGGAUGUGAGGUUAUUCUCACAAUAACAAUAUGGUCUUUAAAUACAAAUCACAACAGAAGAAAGGUUGUUUUGUUUCCCGCCAAACUCAACGAACUAAUCUACUGUUUCUCCCCUCUCUCUGAGAUAGAAUCUUGAAGACUUUUAUUGAUGGCGGAAAGUUUGGAACGUAUCGACGUGAAGCUGUCUCCUGCGCCGGACGCAAGGAUACCGUUGAUGAAAUCAAAAGGAGGACGGCGGCGAGGCGGCGACACGUGGGUGGUUUCAGUGUUCGUGAUAAUCCAAAUCGGAGUUUUCAUCGCAACCAUGCUCGUCAACGAUUGCUGGACCAAUUCUCACGGAGAUUGCCUUCUGCAAACCCUCGGAAGGUUCUCCUUCCAGCCUCUCCCCGAGAAUCCACUCCUAGGUCCUUCUCAGUCCAAGUUAGAUGAAAUGGGAGCUCUUCGAUGGAGCCUUUUGACAGAGCAGCACCAAACUUGGCGUCUUUUCACAUUUCCAUUUUUGCAUGGUGGACUCUUCCACUUGCUUCUCAAUCUCUCGAGUAUCGUCUACGUGGGAGUGCGCCUAGAGCGCGAAUUUGGACCCAUAAGAAUUGGUAUAAUCUAUGCAUUGUCAGCUUUUGUGGGAGGCUUGGUGGCUUCUCUUUUUCUCCGAAACACCCCUGCUGUUGGUGCUUCCGGUGCUUUAUAUGGAUUGCUGGGAACAUUGCUUUCCGAACUUGUUUGGAACUGGAAAUAUCAUACCAAUAAGAUUUCGGCAAUAGCAACAUUAGUCUUUGUGUUUGUGUGCAACUUCGUCCUUGGUUUUCUGCCUUAUGUAGACAAUUUUGCCAGCAUUGGAGGUUUUAUAUCAGGAUUCCUUCUUGGAUCUGUUUUUCUACUCAGCCCUCAGCUCCAACCAGUAGCUCCAAAUAAAGGUGGUCUUGUUGAGUAUGGGGUCAAAAGUUACAUCAACUUAAAGUUGAAGAAAAAGCUGGACAGACCGGUUCUCAGGAUUGUUUCUCUUAUCCUCUUCGGCCUAUUAUUGGCUGGUUGUCUUGUGGUAGUUCUUCAUGGAAUCAACAUCAACAGUUAUUGCACAUGGUGUCCAUAUGUCGACUGUAUCCCUUUUACAAGCUGGCACUGCCAAGACACAGAAGCCUCUUGUGAGACAAUGGUGAGCAAUGCUCAGCUGACAAUGACCUGUAUCGGGAAUGGCAACUUCAGGGUCUAUCCUUUUACCAACAUUUCUCGGGCAAGGAUGAAUGAUUUGUGCAAUCUGAUUUGCUGACGGGACAAAUUGUUUCAAUGAUUCUUUUAGCCCCGAAUUACCAGGAAAUUCUGGAUAGCUUAUAUCUUAACAAGUUGUCGUAUCCUUUUUCUGAAUGUAAAGAAAGAAAUAGAGUAUAAUUAGAAGCUCGAGGUGUUUGAUUUGACCCAAAUUGAUGCAACAGUUUGCGGAGCAUGUCUUUGGUUGUAAAUACCACAAUACCACCUGGGUGUAAAAUUUGUAGUCCCUGGGCAAGAUGAAUCCUUUUCAUGCUGGUAGAAAAUUGAAGUUGUGAAAAAAAAAAAAACAUUUCUUGAUUGCUGUUUCUAAUAAUCAGAUAUAUAAGUGUUUCAUUACGUCCCUGAAUUUCGGCUUGGCUGUUAUGUAUAACUCUGUAGUAUCUAACUUCCGCCGUAAUAGCAUAAUUACAUUGAGGGUGCAUCUGUGACCUGUGAGCUGUUACUGAGUAUGCUCCCGCCGCCGCCACCCGCAUUCACAGUUAAGGACCAUCAAGCCACGGUCUAUAAAAUGAGUGCACUGAGACUUAACAAUCCACAGUGUGGGCCUAACCCUACCCAAUUGCACUGGAUUCAAAGUUUCUGAGCAUUCAAAUGCCGAAGCCUUCUGAGCAAACUCUAGAUCCAUAUACUAAACGGAUAAGUCUUGUACAUCGUACUCAUCGCCAAACCAACCAAGCAGAAGAAUCAACUUAAAAGAGACGUGGCAGAAAAUAUGGGAAAGAUAACAAGCUGCCACUUUCUUUUCUUUUCUUUUUUUGGUGUACUUCUGAAUUUUAGAAUAUAAAAUAAAACAGUUGCAGGA